This 292-nucleotide ribosomal RNA is filed under the name uncultured bacterium. RNAcentral's name for it is "partial 16S ribosomal RNA". It matches the Rfam family "Bacterial small subunit ribosomal RNA", at positions 505 to 796 of the family's 1533-position model. The record is from RNAcentral.
GUGCCAGCCGCCGCGGUAAGACGGAGGGUGCAAGCGUUGUUCGGAAUUACUGGGCGUAAAGCGCGGGCAGGUGGUCCUUUAAGUCCUUUGUGAAAUCCCGGGGCUCAACUCCGGAUGUGCAUAGGAUACUGGAGGACUGGAGACUGGUAGAGGCGAGCGGAAUUCCUGGUGUAGCGGUGGAAUGCGUAGAUAUCAGGAAGAACACCGGUGGCGAAGGCGGCUCGCUGGGCCAGUUCUGACACUCAUCCGCGAAAGCGUGGGGAGCAAACAGGAUUAGAUACCCCCGUAGUCC